GACGAACAGUGCGAACGUUGUUCGGAAUCACUGGGCUUAAAGGGCGCGUAGGCGGGCUGUCCAGUCUGGGGUGAAAUCCCGCGGCUCAACCGUGGAACUGCCUCAGAUACUGACGGCCUCGAGGGAGAUAGGGGCAUGCGGAACUGUAGGUGGAGCGGUGAAAUGCGUUGAUAUCUACAGGAACUCCGGUGGCGAAGGCGGCGUGCUGGAUCUCUUCUGACGCUGAGGCGCGAAAGCUAGGGGAGCAAACGGG
RNAcentral lists this ribosomal RNA (253 nucleotides) under uncultured bacterium. RNAcentral describes it as "partial 16S ribosomal RNA". It matches the Rfam family "Bacterial small subunit ribosomal RNA", at positions 524 to 776 of the family's 1533-position model. The record is from RNAcentral.